This 26-nucleotide non-coding RNA is filed under the name Cricetulus griseus (Chinese hamster). The record is from RNAcentral. Lineage: Eukaryota; Metazoa; Chordata; Mammalia; Rodentia; Cricetidae.
ACCAGUUUUUUAGAAUAUGCUCUCUA